RNAcentral lists this ribosomal RNA (376 nucleotides) under uncultured Klebsiella sp. Its description in RNAcentral is "bacterial SSU rRNA". It matches the Rfam family "Bacterial small subunit ribosomal RNA", at positions 523 to 898 of the family's 1533-position model. The record is from RNAcentral. Lineage: Bacteria; Pseudomonadati; Pseudomonadota; Gammaproteobacteria; Enterobacterales; Enterobacteriaceae.
AUACGGAGGGUGCAAGCGUUAAUCGGAAUUACUGGGCGUAAAGCGCACGCAGGCGGUCUGUCAAGUCGGAUGUGAAAUCCCCGGGCUCAACCUGGGAACUGCAUCCGAAACUGGCAGGCUUGAGUCUUGUAGAGGGGGGUAGAAUUCCAGGUGUAGCGGUGAAAUGCGUAGAGAUCUGGAGGAAUACCGGUGGCGAAGGCGGCCCCCUGGACAAAGACUGACGCUCAGGUGCGAAAGCGUGGGGAGCAAACAGGAUUAGAUACCCUGGUAGUCCACGCCGUAAACGAUGUCGACUUGGAGGUUGUGCCCUUGAGGCGUGGCUUCCGGAGCUAACGCGUUAAGUCGACCGCCUGGGGAGUACGGCCGCAAGGUUAAA